This is a small nucleolar RNA of Dioscorea cayenensis subsp. rotundata (Guinea yam), 73 nucleotides long. RefSeq annotates it as small nucleolar RNA snoR53Y. The record is from RefSeq and is a predicted model, not a curated record. NCBI's taxonomy places the organism in Eukaryota, Viridiplantae, Streptophyta, Magnoliopsida, Dioscoreales, Dioscoreaceae. The transcript has a single exon.
GUUCCCAAUGAUGUUGAAGAAACCAUGCUAAUACUGAAAUAUAUUGAUGAUUAAUAUAUAUGCUGAGGGAAUU